RNAcentral lists this ribosomal RNA (1698 nucleotides) under Triticum aestivum (bread wheat). Its description in RNAcentral is "partial small subunit ribosomal RNA". Lineage: Eukaryota; Viridiplantae; Streptophyta; Magnoliopsida; Poales; Poaceae. The record is from RNAcentral.
AUGCGCUGCCUCCGCCGCGCGGGCGCGGCCGCCCACCUGCUCCGCUCCGCGACGACCGGCCCCGCCAAGCACGCUCGCACGGCCCUCGAGCAGAUGCCUCCGCCGCCUGCCGCCUUCCCAUGUCGCGCGCGCGCCCACCACCUGCUCGGAGGAAUGCGCGGCCAGUGGCUCUGCACGGCGACGGGGUCCACCGGCGCCCCCGACCUCGCCGUGGACCAGCACUUCACCGUGGUGCCUGGCCUAGGCCCCGAUGUCUCCGAGGUGGCGGGGCUCACCGGCGCCCACGAUCUUGCCGUGGACCAGGACUUCACAGUGGUGCCCGGCCCAGGCCUCGAUGUCUCCAAGGAGGCGGAGAGGGUCUGCCGCGUGCUGUCCACCGUGCCGGAGCCGAGGGUUGCGUCAGCCCUCGACGCGCUCGGGGCCUCUGUGUCGCCUCAGCUCGUGGCGGAGGUGCUCAAGAACCUGAGCAACGCUGGCAUCCUCGCCCUCGCCUUCUUCCGGUGGGCGGAGAGGCAGCAAGGCUUCGUGUACACGGCGGAGAGCUUCCACAACCUCAUCGAAGCGCUCGGCAAGAUCAAGCAGUUCAGGCUGGUCUGGAGCCUGGUGGAGGCCAUGCGGUGCCGCGGCUUGCUUUCCAAGGACACGUUCAGGCUCAUCGUCAGGAGGUACGCCAGGGCAAGGAAGGUCAAGGAAGCUGUCGAGACGUUUGAGAAGAUGGCCGGCUUCGGGCUCAAAGCAGACUUAUCAGAUUACAAUUGGUUGAUCGACGUGCUGAGCAAAUCCAAGCAAGUCAAGAAGGCGCAAGCCAUCUUCAAGGAGAUGAAGAGGAACGGAAAGUUUGUUCCCGAUUUGAAGACCUACACUGUCCUCAUGGAAGGCUGGGGCCAUGAGAAGGACUUGCUGAUGCUUAAGUCGGUGUACCAAGAAAUGCUUGAUGCAGGCCUGAAGCCUGAUGUCGUGGCAUACGGGAUGCUCAUUAGUUCCUUUUGCAAGUCUGGCAAAUGUGAUGAGGCCAUCAAGGUGUUCUGUGAGAUGGAAGCCAAUGGUUGCAUGCCAAGCCCUCAUGUGUAUUGCAUGCUUAUCAAUGGGCUUGGCUCAGAGGAGAGGCUGGAUGAGGCUUUGAAGUAUUUUGAGCUUUCUAAGGCCAGUGGGUUUCCCAUGGAGGUACCUACAUGUAAUGCAGUUGUUGGGGCUUACUGCAGAGCCUCAAAAUUCCAGCAUGCCUUCAAGAUGGUCGAUGAGAUGAGAAAGAGUGGAAUCGGUCCAAAUUCCCGGACUUAUGAUAUUAUUCUUCACCAUCUUAUAAAGUCUCAGAAGAUAGAAGAGGCUUAUAAUGUGUUCCAGGGAAUGGGCAAGGAUGGCUGUGAACCUCAGCUCAACACAUAUACAAUGAUGGUUAGUAUGUUCUGCAGUAAUGAAAGGGUUGAUGUGGCCUUGAAGGUGUGGAACCAAAUGAAGGAGAAGGGUGUUCUGCCAUGUAUGCACAUGUUUUCUGCAUUGAUCAACGGGUUAUGCUUUGAGAACAGGCUGGAAGAAGCUUGCGUAUAUUUCCAGGAGAUGUUGGACAAAGGGAUCAGGCCACCUGGUCAGCUUUUCAGUAAUUUAAAGGAAGCUCUUAUUGAGGGAGGAAGAAUUAGUCUGGCACAGGAGAUGGCUUUGAAGUUGGAUGGAUUACGGAAAACACCUAUGCGUCGUUGA